CGGUGAGGUAGAGGUGCAGUAUAUAAGAGUAGUCUGUUGGAGGAUGACAACAAUGAAAGCAGAUGAAAGGAUGUAUUGCCGAAGCAUAAUAAGUGUCAAGCUUAUUAUCGCUGGUAUGCUUUUGAAUAGGAGGUAUACUGUCAUGCAGCAAGCAACAUGCAUGGAGAACUACUGAUCGA
Molecule: non-coding RNA, 179 nt
Filed under: Virgibacillus pantothenticus
Lineage: Bacteria; Bacillati; Bacillota; Bacilli; Caryophanales; Bacillaceae
Description: Lysine sequence
Rfam family: Lysine riboswitch aptamer
About the family: Riboswitches are metabolite binding domains within certain messenger RNAs that serve as precision sensors for their corresponding targets.
Source: Rfam by way of RNAcentral